CAGGCGCAAUAGGCAUUUCUUGAUUUCCGCUCGCUUCAGAAGGUAUAAAUAAGGAUUCCUGCGACUCCUUCGGUCUUUUGGGGGAGAGUUGCGCUGUCUGUACCUGUGGUCUGCCUUCACUCAAGAUUCCAAAUAACUUCGUUUGAGGAGAGAAGAGGAGCCUCACAUAACUUGUUGGUGAUUGGCAAUGCUUUUGGGUCCUUUAUCUGGCGGGGAGCGUUGGUAAAGUGGUACUAUUUUUGGAACAUAAGUAACUCCCUUUAGUGUAAAAGGGUAACAGGAGGAUAGAAAUGGAACUUUUCAGGUAUAGCCCCAGAACUUUAACCAGUAGAGCAAUGAAAUGUUCCAUUGGCCAAGUGACUCAUUGGAAUUUAUAAGGAAUUGCAGAAGGCACUGAGCAUGGACAGCUCUAAAAGAGAUUGUCCUUGGACUUAGGCCCAGAGACCCUUUCAGAAUGCCUAAGGUGAAAAAUUGUGAUACCAAAUUUAGACUGAAAGGACAGAAAGCUGAGACCCAUGGGAAACAAGGUGUCCUAUUAAAGAUAUUUCUGGUGUAUUUAUGAAUUAUAAUAAAGAUGACUAU
Rhinolophus ferrumequinum (greater horseshoe bat) is the source of this 582-nucleotide long non-coding RNA. RefSeq lists it as uncharacterized. NCBI's taxonomy places the organism in Eukaryota, Metazoa, Chordata, Mammalia, Chiroptera, Rhinolophidae. The record is from RefSeq and is a predicted model, not a curated record. The transcript is spliced from 3 exons.